GAACGAACGCUGGCGGCAGGCUUAACACAUGCAAGUCGAACGAUAUAGUGGCAGACGGGUGAGUAACGCGUGGAAACGUGCCUUUCACUACGGAAUAGCUUUUGGAAACGAAAGGUAAUACCGUAUACGCCCUCCGGGGGAAAGAUUUAUCGGUGAAAGAUCGGUCCGCGUUAGAUUAGCUAGUUGGUGAGGUAACGGCUCACCAAGGCUACGAUCUAUAGCUGGUCUGAGAGGAUGAUCAGCCACACUGGGACUGAGACACGGCCCAGACUCCUACGGGAGGCAGCAGUGGGGAAUAUUGCACAAUGGGCGCAAGCCUGAUGCAGCCAUGCCGCGUGAAUGAUGAAGGCCUUAGGGUUGUAAAAUUCUUUCGCCAAGGAUGAUAAUGACAGUACUUGGUAAAGAAGCCCCGGCUAACUUCGUGCCAGCAGCCGCGGUAAUACGAAGGGGGCUAGCGUUGUUCGGAAUUACUGGGCGUAAAGCGCACGUAGGCGGACUUUUAAGUCAGAUGUGAAAUCCCGAGGCUCAACCUCGGAACUGCAUUUGAAACUGGGAGUCUAGAGAUCAGGAGAGGUUAGCGGAAUACCGAGUGUAGAGGUGAAAUUUCGUAGAUAUUCGGUGGAACACCAGUGGCGAAGGCGGCUAACUGGACUGAUACUGACGCUGAGGUGCGAAAGUGUGGGGAGCAAACAGGAUUAGAUACCCUGGUAGUCCACACCGUAAACGAUGAGUGCUAGUUGUCUGCAGGCAUGCCUGUAGGUGACGCAGCUAACGCAUUAAGCACUCCGCCUGGGGAGUACGGCCGCAAGGUUAAAACUCAAAGAAAUUGACGGGGGCCCGCACAAGCGGUGGAGCAUGUGGUUUAAUUCGAAGCAACGCGCAGAACCUUACCUACGCUUGACAUGCCCGGACGAUUUCCAGAGAUGGAUCUCUCCCUUCGGGGCCGGUGCACAGGUGCUGCAUGGCUGUCGUCAGCUCGUGUCGUGAGAUGUUGGGUUAAGUCCCGCAACGAGCGCAACCCUCAUCCUUAGUUGCCAUCACGUUUGGGUGGGCACUCUAGGGAAACUGCCGGUGCUAAGCCGGAGGAAGGCGGGGAUGACGUCAAGUCCUCAUGGCCCUUACGCGUAGGGCUACACACGUGCUACAAUGGCAGUGACAAUGGGAUAAUCCCCAAAAGCUGUCUCAGUUCGGAUUGUCGGCUGCAACUCGCCGGCAUGAAGUUGGAAUCGCUAGUAAUCGUGGAUCAGCAUGCCACGGUGAAUACGUUCCCGGGCCUUGUACACACCGCCCGUCACACCAUGGGAGUUGGAUCUACCCGAAGAUUGUGAGCUAACUUCGGAGGCAGCAAGCCACGGUAGGUUCAGCGACUGGGGU
Molecule: ribosomal RNA, 1374 nt
Filed under: uncultured prokaryote
Description: partial 16S ribosomal RNA
Rfam family: Bacterial small subunit ribosomal RNA
Source: RNAcentral